AGAGUUUGAUCCUGGCUCAGGAUGAACGCUAGCGACAGGCUUAACACAUGCAAGUCGAGGGGCAGCAUGAUUUGUAGCAAUACGGAUUGAUGGCGACCGGCGCACGGGUGAGUAACGCGUAUGCAACUUACCUAUCAGAGGGGGAUAGCCCGGCGAAAGUCGGAUUAAUACCCCAUAAAGCAGGGGUCCCGCAUGGGAAUAUUUGUUAAAGAUUCAUCGCUGAUAGAUAGGCAUGCGUUCCAUUAGGCAGUUGGCGGGGUAACGGCCCACCAAACCGACGAUGGAUAGGGGUUCUGAGAGGAAGGUCCCCCACAUUGGUACUGAGACACGGACCAAACUCCUACGGGAGGCAGCAGUGAGGAAUAUUGGUCAAUGGCCGAGAGGCUGAACCAGCCAAGUCGCGUGAAGGAAGAAGGAUCUAUGGUUUGUAAACUUCUUUUAUAGGGGAAUAAAGUGGAGGACGUGUCCUUUUUUGUAUGUACCCUAUGAAUAAGCAUCGGCUAACUCCGUGCCAGCAGCCGCGGUAAUACGGAGGAUGCGAGCGUUAUCCGGAUUUAUUGGGUUUAAAGGGUGCGUAGGUGGUGAUUUAAGUCAGCGGUGAAAGUUUGUGGCUCAACCAUAAAAUUGCCGCUGAAACUGGGUUACUUGAGUGUGUUUGAGGUAGGCGGAAUGCGUGGUGUAGCGGUGAAAUGCAUAGAUAUCACGCAGAACUCCGAUUGCGAAGGCAGCUUACUAAACCAUAACUGACACUGAAGCACGAAAGCGUGGGGAUCAAACAGGAUUAGAUACCCUGGUAGUCCACGCAGUAAACGAUGAUUACUAGGAGUUUGCGAUACAAUGUAAGCUCUACAGCGAAAGCGUUAAGUAAUCCACCUGGGGAGUACGCCGGCAACGGUGAAACUCAAAGGAAUUGACGGGGGCCCGCACAAGCGGAGGAACAUGUGGUUUAAUUCGAUGAUACGCGAGGAACCUUACCCGGGUUUGAACGUAGUCUGACCGGAGUGGAAACACUCUUUCUAGCAAUAGCAGAUUACGAGGUGCUGCAUGGUUGUCGUCAGCUCGUGCCGUGAGGUGUCGGCUUAAGUGCCAUAACGAGCGCAACCCUUAUCACUAGUUACUAACAGGUGAAGCUGAGGACUCUGGUGAGACUGCCAGCGUAAGCUGUGAGGAAGGUGGGGAUGACGUCAAAUCAGCACGGCCCUUACAUCCGGGGCGACACACGUGUUACAAUGGCAUGGACAAAGGGCAGCUACCUGGUGACAGGAUGCUAAUCUCCAAACCAUGUCUCAGUUCGGAUCGGAGUCUGCAACUCGACUCCAUGAAGCUGGAUUCGCUAGUAAUCGCGCAUCAGCCAUGGCGCGGUGAAUACGUUCCCGGGCCUUGUACACACCGCCCGUCAAGCCAUGGGAGCCGGGGGUACCUGAAGUCCGUAACCGCAAGGAUCGGCCUAGGGUAAAACUGGUGACUGGGGCUAAGUCGUAACAAGGUA
This 1489-nucleotide ribosomal RNA is filed under the name metagenome. Its description in RNAcentral is "bacterial SSU rRNA". It matches the Rfam family "Bacterial small subunit ribosomal RNA". The record is from RNAcentral.